GACGGAGGGUGCAAACGUUGUUCGGAAUCACUGGGCCUAAAGCGCACGUAGGCGGUCCGCUAAGUCAGAUGUGAAAUCCCCCGGCUCAACCGGGGAACUGCACCUGAUACUGGCGGGCUCGAGGACGGUAGGGGUGAGUGGAACUCCAGGUGGAGCGGUGAAAUGCGUAGAUAUCUGGAGGAACACCGGUGGCGAAAGCGGCUCACUGGACCGUCUCUGACGCUGAGGUGCGAAAGCUAGGGUAGCAAACGGG
Molecule: ribosomal RNA, 253 nt
Filed under: uncultured bacterium
Lineage: Bacteria
Description: partial 16S ribosomal RNA
Rfam family: Bacterial small subunit ribosomal RNA
Source: RNAcentral